Molecule: ribosomal RNA, 406 nt
Filed under: uncultured bacterium
Lineage: Bacteria
Description: partial 16S ribosomal RNA
Rfam family: Bacterial small subunit ribosomal RNA
Source: RNAcentral
AUUGAACGCUGGCGGCAGGCCUAACACAUGCAAGUCGAACGAGUGGCGGACGGGUGAGUAAUGUCUGGGAAACUGCCUGAUGGAGGGGGAUAACUACUGGAAACGGUAGCUAAUACCGCAUACCAUCGGAUGUGCCCUGAUGGGAUUAGCUUGUUGGGGAGGUAACGGCUCACAAAGGCGACGAUCCCUAGCUGGUCUGAGAGGAUGACCAGCCACACUGGAACUGAGACACGGGCCAGACUCCUACGGGAGGCAGCAGUGGGGAGUAUUGCACAAUGGGCGCAAGCCUGAUGCAGCCAUGCCGCGUGUAUGAAGAAGGCCUUCGGGUUGUAAAGUACUUUCAGCGGGGAGGCGUUACCCGCAGAGGAAGCACCGGCUAACUCCGUGCCAGCAGCCGCGGUAAUUC